This 414-nucleotide ribosomal RNA is filed under the name uncultured microorganism. Its description in RNAcentral is "bacterial SSU rRNA". It matches the Rfam family "Archaeal small subunit ribosomal RNA", at positions 459 to 872 of the family's 1478-position model. The record is from RNAcentral.
CAGCCGCCGCGGUAAUACCGGCGGCCCGAGUGGCGGUCACUAUUAUUGGGCUUAAAGCGUCCGUAGCCGGGUUGGGAAAUCCUCCGGGAAAUCUGGCCGCUUAACGGUCAGAAUGCCGGAGGAUACUCCCAGCCUAGGGAGCGGGAGAGGCCGAGGGGAUUCCCGGAGUAGGGGGGAAAUCCUAUAAACCCGGGAGGACCACCUGUGGCGAAGGCGCUCGGCUGGAACGCGUCCGACGGGGAGGGACGAAGGCCAGGGGAGCAAACCGGAUUAGAUACCCGGGUAGUCCUGGCUGUAAACGAUGCGGACUUUGUGUCGGACAAGCUAUGAGCUUGUCCGGUGCCGGAGGGAAACCGUUAAGUCCGCCGCCUGGGGAGUACGGCCGCAAGGCUGAAACUUAAAGGAAUUGGCGGG